UAAAGGAAUUUAUUUUGAGAUUUCAUCAGAACUUCUUUCUGGGUUUCCCAAAGAAUUUCCUUUCGGGAUUCCUCCAGGAGUUCCUUCUUGGUUUUCUUCAGGAAUUCACUCAGAUAUUCGCGUUCCGAGAUCUUUGCAGGCAUUCUUUCCGGCAUUCGUUCCCCUCCAGAAGUUGCUUCUGAAGUUCCUCCAGGAUUUCUUUUUCGGAUCCUUCAGGAAUAUCUUCCUGGAUUCUUCUGAGAUUCCUCGAGAACUUCCUUCUGAAAUUAAUCGAGAAUUUUUUUUCCUGGGACUCCUCCAUUCAUUCUUUUCAGGACUUCAAGACGAAAUUGUUGACUUCCAUUAGAGUCUCCCGGACAUCCAGCAGCUUUUGAUGGUAUAAGUUAUACGGGAAUCACGCGAAAAUGAAGACGAAUUCCGGCACCCCGAUGGAGAUAAGGCAAACUCUCACAAAAGUCGCGAAUUAUCAGAAGUUCAAUUUGUAAGCCCUUUCUGAGGCAACAAUUGCGGAAGGCAUAGCACUACCAGCCCUUUUUCAUUUUGGCCGGCCAUAAUCGUGGAGCGAGAAAACGCAUGGAUGUUUAGAAAACACAGCCGCUCUCGCGCACAGCCUGCUACGAUCACAAUCCCACAUGAUCACAUACCUAAUAGGGGUAGUCGGGGUAAUUUGGCCAAUGGGGCAAUCUGAGCACUUCAUAAAAAUCACCUAAAAUUUAAUAUUUUUAACAAACCGACCUUACAGCUCUACUACUGGUCUGAUAUGGAUGCCAUUGAAACGUUAGAACGAAUAAGUUUAAGCCCACAGUAAAUUAGAAAAAUAAAAUUGAAAAAAUGUUGGCCAAAUUACCCCGAAGAGGGCUGAAUAAAACCACCACAUAAGACCCCUGUUGUUCAAAUACAUUAGAUAUCGUCGUUGGGGGUGAGAAUGGGUCAAAAACGGAUACUCAAUGAAAGUUUGUUAAACAACAAUUACAAUCGAAGCCUGAAUAACUUUUUAUUCGACAUGUAUACUCUUCUAUGUGGUAAUGACAGUUUAGCAAAAAAGCAACACAUUAUAUGAAUUGCUUACUAAACUACAAAUGAUUGAAAAUUGACCCAAUCUCACCCCUUAGAGGGGGUGAGAAUGGGUCAAAGUAUUCGAAAUCGCCUAUCUAAGAAUAUAAGUUAAUUUUAUUGAUCAUAUCUAGCAAACUUUCGUAAAAUACAAUGUUACCAUGACGAAUAAAAACUCAGGUAAUUUUAAAAAAUGAUUAAUCCAUUUAAAAGGGCUAAUACGACCGAAAAAAUGGUUGAAAUUUGAUAAAAUUACGUUUGUAUGUUGUAUCGCCAUUUUUAGCCACCAUCCUCAUUUAAUGUUUCAACCUCCAUGAGAGGAGGGGGACGAUUACAACGAGGGAGGAGCGCAUUGAAAGAUUGAUUGAAAAAAAAAUGAUAUUUUUAGUAUACUGCAUAAGACAUGUUUAACCAAACCCGCUAUAAACUCUUAUGAUCAUUUGCCUCUAUACUGCCAAAGCAAAUCACUCCAUCUCAGGAUAGAGGGUCGACUAUAUAUUAUAAUGUUACACACCAUUUCACAUUAUUAGAACCCCUCGCGCAACAACAUUAAAAAGGAUUUUUUAAUAAAUUUUGUAUGAGUUCUAGUAGACUUAUUCUUCUGUCCAAACGCAUGGGUUUAUUGUUAUAAAUGAUUUUAGGGACUAAACGUAUGAACACUCCCGCUUGCCACUUCUGCGACACAUUUUCAAAGAAAACUAUGCUUUUAUGAAGAUACGGUAAACAUGGCACCACUCUGACGUCAAAUGGGGACUGGAUAACAAUUUGAAUUUUCAGUUAAGGUUAUGUGCACUCGAUAAUUUGCUUGACCCAAUCUCAUCCCCAUUCUUAUUAUUUAGACAUUGGGUCAAAAAUAUUGAAUUUUUAAAUAAAAAGAGCAAUGACAGCCCGCGUUUUUCAUUGCAUCAACCAGGUAAUACCUACAGCUAAUCACUUCUAAGAAAAUUUAUGGUUAGAUACUUGUGUGAAACAUUACGAUGGAGAAAUUUUUUCAGAGUGAUUCACUAGUAGUUUCAUCAUAUAAGUUUAGCCAAAAAUUUAACAAAAAACCAUUAUUGCUAAACAUCUUAUUCUGCAUCAUGACGUGUAAAAACAUCUCCUUUUUGAAAUAAUAUUAAGUUUUCAACAUAAAUUAGCGAUAGUUGAUGAGCUAUUUCAAAUUUUAUGUUUCUCCGUUUUGACCCAAUCUCACCCCCCAGACCCAUUGUCACCCCCAUCGACGGUAGCUUUAAAAUUAGUUCAUUCCCAAGUAACACAGAAAACAUCUUUGAAAAUAAAAUUUGAAAAAGAUGUUGUAAUGCAGUACUAUAAUCGUACUUAUACACAUCUUGUGUUGAAAUCAUGUUUUAUCUAUGUUUGGCAAUUACAAUCCACUGCAAAUUGUUAUCAACCUCAGAACAAGUUAGAGUAACGUAAAUUUAACGUUGAUUACACAAAAAUAUUGUAUCCUCAUCAUCUUUCAAUUGAAGAUGUUAUGUAGAAAAUCAGCAGCACAUAGUUAUAACAAUUGAACUCGCAUAUGUUACAAAUACGUUAUUUUUACGUAUCAAACACGUUAAUGUACAAGUUUAUCAGUUCGCUGUUCUGCCAGUUCGCACUUGAAAAUUAUUUAUGAAAAAUCUUUUGCCUUAAAAUAUUAGGUGAUUCAAUUACGAUAGCAACUAUGACAGCAUCCAAUACUUUUAUUUUUAAAGUUUUCGCUCUUGAUGUUGCCGCUAUGAACUAGCUAAACACAUUGUUAUAUGAAUAUUAUCUAAAAAAAAGUUGGUGGCUGUACAAGUCACUGUAGGACUGAGUGGCUGGGAAGAAGCAAGCCACCCUUCAAAUGACAGCCCUUAUUUGCCCGGAAUCCUCUUAAAUCCACGGUGAAUGGUGCCUUGACGGUACAAGACACUGAAGACGACCUUACAGUUAAGGUCGAAAUACGUAUCUGUCAAAGGAUGCAAAUUCUUAGUGGAAUUCAAAGGAACAGUGCUUAACACGAUUUUCUUUUUACUUACACGAAAUGAAUUAAUAUUUUACCACCUCAUUCACCGACCUACACACACGAACGGUUCAGAAUAAGAUAAUUUAUUUGGUACAUAAACCAAGUUUUCCAGACAUUCUUACUGAAUUUCCGAUGAUUUUCUUCGUUUGCUCAAUUCCGUAAAUCUUAAGCUGACCAAAGUAGUUUCACAGCUAAACGCACGACAGACGAGUACUAGCUCCAGAUCUGCCAGAGAAAAGUUUAACACUACGGGAUGCGACGAAGAGAAAAGUAACGAAACGACGACCGAUUCCGACGGAAACAUUGUUACGCGCUAGGGGCGGGACAGCUCCUAAUAUCGGCGUUAAUACUGCCUAAUAAAUAUUAGUUUCCUAAUCUUCACCGUCCACCGUAGCAUUUUAUUUGUAGUAUGUCAUGAAUUUUCAUACAUCAAGUAACUGUCACAAAGACGAGAGGUGGAAAUAAGCUUCAACUUUCAUAAUCGCGGAUGUGGCUGUCGGAUACUAAUGGCGCUGUGCUUUGAGGAAUCGAUACAGAAGACUUUAUAGGAUGUGAUAAACAAGCUUCUGUACAUGUUCUUAUCACAAUGUUCCUGGAAAAACAUUUAUUUCUGGUGUAUGCUAACUUCAAAGUUCAGUGAAAUAAAAUGAAUUUGAAAACUCAA
Aedes albopictus (Asian tiger mosquito) is the source of this 3704-nucleotide long non-coding RNA. RefSeq lists it as uncharacterized. The record is from RefSeq and is a predicted model, not a curated record. The transcript is spliced from 2 exons. Lineage: Eukaryota; Metazoa; Arthropoda; Insecta; Diptera; Culicidae.